This 72-nucleotide transfer RNA is filed under the name Ictidomys tridecemlineatus (thirteen-lined ground squirrel). Its description in RNAcentral is "Spermophilus tridecemlineatus (thirteen-lined ground squirrel) tRNA". It matches the Rfam family "tRNA". From Rfam's summary of the family: Transfer RNA (tRNA) molecules are approximately 80 nucleotides in length. The record is from Rfam by way of RNAcentral. Lineage: Eukaryota; Metazoa; Chordata; Mammalia; Rodentia; Sciuridae.
GGGGAUAUAGCUCUGUGGUAGAGCACUUGCCUAGUACACAAGAAACCCUGGGUACAAUCCCAAGUACUGCUA